Molecule: transfer RNA, 95 nt
Filed under: Sclerotinia borealis F-4128
Lineage: Eukaryota; Fungi; Ascomycota; Leotiomycetes; Helotiales; Sclerotiniaceae
Rfam family: tRNA
About the family: Transfer RNA (tRNA) molecules are approximately 80 nucleotides in length. Their secondary structure includes four short double-helical elements and three loops (D, anti-codon, and T loops).
Source: Rfam by way of RNAcentral
GCUUCUGUGGUCCAAUGGUUAGGAUUCCACCCUUCCAUUCAACCGUUUAACGGUGGAGCAAGGUGGAGGUUCGUGUUCGAUUCACGGCAGUUGCA